RNAcentral lists this small RNA (1142 nucleotides) under Pongo abelii (Sumatran orangutan). RNAcentral describes it as "retained intron". Lineage: Eukaryota; Metazoa; Chordata; Mammalia; Primates; Hominidae. The record is from RNAcentral.
GCAGCGCGGGAGCCGCACAGUCGAGGAGGGAGCGCGGGACGCCGAGCCCACGCGCGCCUGCCGGGGCAAGUGGAGGCGAAGCCGGAGAGCGGACGCCCCGAGGUGGACGACCCCCCGGAGCCCGUGUACGCGAACAUAGAGAGGCAGCCCCGGGCCACUUCACCGGGUGCCGCUGCAGCCCCCCUUCCCAGCCCGGUGUGGGAGACGCACACGGACGCGGGCACCGGGCGCCCCUACUACUACAACCCAGACACGGGAGUUACCACCUGGGAGUCGCCCUUUGAGGCUGCCGAGGGUGCCGCCAGCCCAGCCACCUCCCCUGCCUCGGUGGACAGCCACGUGAGCCUUGAGACCGAGUGGGGCCAGUACUGGGAUGAGGAGAGCCGCAGGGUGUUCUUCUACAACCCGCUGACGGGCGAGACGGCCUGGGAGGACGAGGCCGAGAACGAUCCCGAGGAGGAGUUGGAGAUGCAGCCGGGCCUGAGCCCUGGCAGCCCCGGGGACCCGCGGCCCCCCACUCCCGAGACGGACUACCCCGAGUCACUGACCAGUUACCCCGAGGAGGAUUAUUCUCCCGUGGGCUCUUUCGGUGAGCCCGGCCCUACCUCUCCCUUGACUACACCCCCCGGCUGGUCUUGUCAUGUCAGCCAGGACAAGCAGAUGCUCUACACCAACCACUUCACCCAGGAGCAGGUAGGGGCAGGGGGCAGAUGGGCCCGGACAGCCUCAGAGUCCUCCCCACAAUCUUCCUCACUAAUAGGUCGCCUCAGUGCUCUAAAUUGCAGCUCCCACACAGAGCCUAAACGAGCCAAACGCAGUCACCUGCACCUGCCCCUCCAGACUCCCUGGUGCUGUCUUGGAACCUGGUUAGAGGGAACCUUUUCCUCCCCUCUCAUGAGCUGGGCUGGAGGCCCUGACCGUUCCUCUCCCCACAGUGGGUGAGGCUGGAGGACCCCCACGGGAAGCCAUACUUCUACAAUCCAGAGGACUCCUCUGUUCGAUGGGAGCUGCCCCAGGUAACAACCUGGGGAAAGAGGGGUGUUGGGGAGAGAGGAAGAGAUUACAUACGGCUGUGUCUUUCUCCCCAGGUCCCUGUCCCUGCCCCUCGAAGCAUCCAUAAAGCCAGCCAGGAUGGUGACACC